GACGAACGCUGGCGGCGUGCUUAACACAUGCAAGUCGAACGGAAAGGCCCUGCUUUUGUGGGGUGCUCGAGUGGCGAACGGGUGAGUAACACGUGAGUAACCUGCCCUUGACUUUGGGAUAACUUCAGGAAACUGGGGCUAAUACCGGAUAGGAGCUCCUGCUGCAUGGUGGGGGUUGGAAAGUUUCGGCGGGUGGGGAUGGACUCGCGGCUUAGCAGCUUGAUGGUGGGGUAGUGGCUUACCAAGGCUUUGACGGGUAGCCGGCCUGAGAGGGUGACCGGCCACAUUGGGACUGAGAUACGGCCCAGACUCCUACGUGAGGCAGAAGUGGGGAAUAUUGCACAAUGGGCGGAAGUCUGAUGCAGCAACGCUGCGUUCGGGAUGACGGCUUUCGGGUUGUAAACCGCUUUCGCCUGUGACGAAGCGUGAGUGACGGUAAUGGGUAAAGAAGCACCGGCUAACUACGUG
RNAcentral lists this ribosomal RNA (468 nucleotides) under uncultured bacterium. Its description in RNAcentral is "partial 16S ribosomal RNA". It matches the Rfam family "Bacterial small subunit ribosomal RNA", at positions 28 to 507 of the family's 1533-position model. The record is from RNAcentral.